GGUCAAGAUGGUAAGGGCCCACGGUGGAUGCCUCGGCACCCGAGCCGAUGAAGGACGUGGCUACCUGCGAUAAGCCAGGGGGAGCCGGUAGCGGGCGUGGAUCCCUGGAUGUCCGAAUGGGGGAACCCGGCCGGCGGGAACGCCGGUCACCGCGCUUGCGCGGGGGGAACCUGGGGAACUGAAACAUCUCAGUACCCAGAGGAGAGGAAAGAGAAAUCGACUCCCUGAGUAGCGGCGAGCGAAAGGGGACCAGCCUAAACCGUCCGGCUUGUCCGGGCGGGGUCGGGGGCCCUCGGCCGAAUCCCCAGCCUAGCCGAAGCUGUUGGGAAGCAGCGCCAGAGAGGGUGAAAGCCCCGUAGGCGAAAGGUGGGGGGAUAGGUGAGGGUACCCGAGUACCCCGUGGUUCGUGGAGCCAUGGGGGAAUCUGGGCGGACCACCGCCUAAGGCUAAGUACUCCGGGUGACCGAUAGCGCACCAGUACCGUGAGGGAAAGGUGAAAAGAACCCCGGGAGGGGAGUGAAAUAGAGCCUGAAACCGUGGGCUUACAAGCAGUCACGGCCCCAAGGGGUUGUGGCGUGCCUAUUGAAGCAUGAGCCGGCGACUCACGGUCGUGGGCGAGCUUAAGCCGUUGAGGCGGAGGCGUAGGGAAACCGAGUCCGAACAGGGCGCGUCCGCGGCCGUGGACCCGAAACCGGGCGAGCUAGCCCUGGCCAGGGUGAAGCUGGGGUGAGACCCAGUGGAGGCCCGAACCGGUGGGGGAUGCAAACCCCUCGGAUGAGCUGGGGCUAGGAGUGAAAAGCUAACCGAGCCCGGAGAUAGCUGGUUCUCCCCGAAAUGACUUUAGGGUCAGCCUCAGGCGCUGACUGGGGCCUGUAGAGCACUGAUAGGGCUAGGGGGCGCCUACCAAACCCUGUCAAACUCCGAAGGGUCCCAGGUGGAGCCUGGGAGUGAGGGCGCGAGCGAUAACGUCCGCGUCCGAGCGCGGGAACAACCGAGACCGCCAGCUAAGGCCCCCAAGUCUGGGCUAAGUGGUAAAGGAUGUGGCGCCGCGAAGACAGCCAGGAGGUUGGCUUAGAAGCAGCCAUCCUUUAAAGAGUGCGUAAUAGCUCACUGGUCGAGUGGCGCCGCGCCGAAAAUGAUCGGGGCUUAAGCCCAGCGCCGAAGCUGCGGGUCUGGGGGAUGACCCCAGGCGGUAGGGGAGCGUUCCCGAUGCCGAUGAAGGCCGACCCGCGAGGGCGGCUGGAGGUAAGGGAAGUGCGAAUGCCGGCAUGAGUAACGAUAAAGAGGGUGAGAAUCCCUCUCGCCGUAAGCCCAAGGGUUCCUACGCAAUGGUCGUCAGCGUAGGGUUAGGCGGGACCUAAGGUGAAGCCGAAAGGCGUAGCCGAAGGGCAGCCGGUUAAUAUUCCGGCCCUUCCCGCAGGUGCGAUGGGGGGACGCUCUAGGCUAGGGGGACCGGAGCCAUGGACGAGCCCGGCCAGAAGCGCAGGGUGGGAGGUAGGCAAAUCCGCCUCCCAACAAGCUCUGCGUGGUGGGGAAGCCCGCAACCCCCCGAAGCCAGGGAGCCAAGAAAAGCCUCUAAGCACAACCUGCGGGAACCCGUACCGCAAACCGACACAGGUGGGCGGGUGCAAGAGCACUCAGGCGCGCGGGAGAACCCUCGCCAAGGAACUCUGCAAGUUGGCCCCGUAACUUCGGGAGAAGGGGUGCUCCCUGGGGUGAUGAGCCCCGGGGAGCCGCAGUGAACAGGCUCUGGCGACUGUUUACCAAAAACACAGCUCUCUGCGAACUCGUAAGAGGAGGUAUAGGGAGCGACGCUUGCCCGGUGCCGGAAGGUCAAGGGGAGGGGUGCAAGCCCCGAACCGAAGCCCCGGUGAACGGCGGCCGUAACUAUAACGGUCCUAAGGUAGCGAAAUUCCUUGUCGGGUAAGUUCCGACCUGCACGAAAAGCGUAACGACCGGAGCGCUGUCUCGGCGAGGGACCCGGUGAAAUUGAACUGGCCGUGAAGAUGCGGCCUACCCGUGGCAGGACGAAAAGACCCCGUGGAGCUUUACUGCAGCCUGGUGUUGGCUCUUGGUCGCGCCUGCGUAGGAUAGGUGGGAGCCUGGCGCCGGUGAAAUCCACCCUGGCGCGGCUGGGGGCCUAACCCUCGGAUGGGGGGACAGCGCUUGGCGGGCAGUUUGACUGGGGCGGUCGCCUCCUAAAAGGUAACGGAGGCGCCCAAAGGUCCCCUCAGGCGGGACGGAAAUCCGCCGGAGAGCGCAAGGGUAGAAGGGGGCCUGACUGCGAGGCCUGCAAGCCGAGCAGGGGCGAAAGCCGGGCCUAGUGAACCGGUGGUCCCGUGUGGAAGGGCCAUCGAUCAACGGAUAAAAGUUACCCCGGGGAUAACAGGCUGAUCUCCCCCGAGCGUCCACAGCGGCGGGGAGGUUUGGCACCUCGAUGUCGGCUCGUCGCAUCCUGGGGCUGAAGAAGGUCCCAAGGGUUGGGCUGUUCGCCCAUUAAAGCGGCACGCGAGCUGGGUUCAGAACGUCGUGAGACAGUUCGGUCUCUAUCCGCCACGGGCGCAGGAGGCUUGAGGGGGGCUCUUCCUAGUACGAGAGGACCGGAAGGGACGCACCUCUGGUUUCCCAGCUGUCCCUCCAGGGGCAUAAGCUGGGUAGCCAUGUGCGGAAGGGAUAACCGCUGAAAGCAUCUAAGCGGGAAGCCCGCCCCAAGAUGAGGCCUCCCACGGCGUCAAGCCGGUAAGGACCCGGGAAGACCACCCGGUGGAUGGGCCGGGGGUGUAAGCGCCGCGAGGCGUUGAGCCGACCGGUCCCAAUCGUCCGAGGUCUUGACCCCUCC
Molecule: ribosomal RNA, 2839 nt
Filed under: Thermus thermophilus HB8
Lineage: Bacteria; Thermotogati; Deinococcota; Deinococci; Thermales; Thermaceae
Description: 23S ribosomal RNA from Thermus thermophilus HB8 (PDB 7LH5, chain DA)
Rfam family: Bacterial large subunit ribosomal RNA
Source: RNAcentral